Molecule: ribosomal RNA, 468 nt
Filed under: uncultured bacterium
Lineage: Bacteria
Description: partial 16S ribosomal RNA
Rfam family: Bacterial small subunit ribosomal RNA
Source: RNAcentral
GACGAACGCUGGCGGCGUGCUUAACACAUGCAAGUCGAACGGAAAGGCCCUGCUUUUGUGGGGUGCUCGAGUGGCGAAAGGGUGAGUAACACGUGAGUAACCUGCCCUUGACUUUGGGAUAACUUCAGGAAACUGGGGCUAAUACCGGAUAGGAGCUCCUGCUGCAUGGUGGGGGUUGGAAAGUUUCUGCGGUUGGCGAUGGACUCGCGGCUUAUCAGCUUGUUGGUGGGGUAGUGGCUUACCAAGGCUUUGACGGGUAGCCGGCCUGCGAGGGUGACCGGCCACAUUGGAACUGAGAUACGGCCCAGACUCCUACGGGAGGCAGCAGUGGGGAAUAUUGCACAAUGGGCGGAAGCCUGAUGCAGCAACGCCGCGUGCUGGAUGACGGCCUUCGGGUUGUAAUCCGCUUUCGCCUGUGACGAAGCGUGAGUGACGGUAAUGGGUAAAGAAGCACCGGCUAACUACGUG